CUUGUUGGGGACAAACUGAGCUGCAAAAGCAUGAGAGCAGUGAAGAGUCCUCAGGUUCAUCAGCUGCCACCAACUGCUGUCAGCAACACAGAGCCAAAGGAAUGGGAAGGUGUUCUGAUUCUCUAUCUGCUUUUCGUCUUGGUGGCAUUUGCUUGGUUUCCCUGUCGCUUGCACACUGUGCUUGGUAUCAAGUCUGGAUACAAACUCAUCAGCUCAGUUUCCAUCGCCUUCUCCAUCUUCCCUGCAGGCUCUGCUUCUUGUUUCCUCUCUUCUUGCACAAACUGCCUCCCCACCCUGGUUUCUGCUGCUCUCACAACCCCUGUGUCUAGCACACCUUAACCACAGCUGACCAAUUUCUGCACCUGUGGAAAUGAUGGCAAAGAAGUUGACAGCACAUGAGCUCAGCAUUAACUCUCCACCUCAGUGUGGAGGUGCCUGCAGAAGUUGCUGGUGUGAAAAGCAAAGAGAGACUAAGGGGCAUCAAGCUUGUCCUCUACACUCUUCACCGUCAGAUCCAUCUCUGUGGCACUUCAGGCAUGCAAAAAGGACGUGUUUAUGUCGUGUGUGCUGUGGAUGUGAAAGAAUGUCUAAACCUAGCAUUCAAACUGUGGAAAAACUGUGAAAUCAGUAAAUACAGAACAGGAACUGAGAAAAAUUUAUGUUCAGCUGUUUCCCUACUGUAACUUGGAAAAAGAAUCUGAAUGUUUUUAACUUGCCUCCAAGUUAGUAUGCUUUUUGUAAUUCUGGGAGAGCUUUGGUGCUGGGAUUGUUAGCAUAACUUGUUCAAAUAUUCCAAGUUCCCACCUCCUCUUACUCAUG
This is a long non-coding RNA of Lepidothrix coronata (blue-crowned manakin), 819 nucleotides long. RefSeq lists it as uncharacterized. Lineage: Eukaryota; Metazoa; Chordata; Aves; Passeriformes; Pipridae. The transcript is spliced from 3 exons. The record is from RefSeq and is a predicted model, not a curated record.